AAAACUUUUUGCUUGGUCUGCCCGACACCUAAUGAGAAGAAGUUGUAUCUUAUUGAUCUUGGUUUGGCAUCAAAAUGGAGAGAUUCAUCAUCUGGUCGUCAUGUUGAAUAUGACCAAAAGUCGGAUGUUUUCAGGGGAACUGUACGCUAUGCGAGUGUACAUGCUCAUUUAGGCAGAACAGGGAGCCGUCGGGAUGAUCUUGAGUCGCUAGCUUAUACCUUGGCAUCUAAUUUACUGAAUGACUUCAAGAGGGAGCAUGAAGUGGAAUUGCUGCCAACUUCUUUAUAUAUGUAAAUAUGAACUGUACAAUUUUUGACGUGUAUAGAUUUUUGUAUUAUGUUUUAUAUUGAUUUUGUACUAAAUAUUUUUCUUUUUAGUUUGUAUUUUGUUUAUCUAUUUUAUAAAAAUUAAUUUUGAUAUUU
Long non-coding RNA from Humulus lupulus (European hop), 422 nucleotides. RefSeq lists it as uncharacterized. The record is from RefSeq and is a predicted model, not a curated record. NCBI's taxonomy places the organism in Eukaryota, Viridiplantae, Streptophyta, Magnoliopsida, Rosales, Cannabaceae. The transcript is spliced from 4 exons.